GUGCCGAGGGAACCGAGUGCAGUCAGAACGCAGCGAUCCGGUCUGAUCCGGUUUGUAACCUCAGGGUAUGGAAUUAUCUCUUAAUAUGUAGCUGUUAGUGGUCAAGACGUCACACAGCCGGAGAGCCGGAGAGCGGGCCGGGCUGGGAGCUGCCCACCCCAGUGAGUCUCCGGCCCCACGACUGGACUCCAACCUCUCCAUGUGGGACUGCAGCCGGUGCUGGUAGUCAGUUAUCUCAUCCGGGUCGGACUGAGCUCAGCGCUGUAGCACUCGGGUCGGUCCUCCCCCGGCUUCGUCUUCUGGUUGGAGCGGCCCUGUGACCGGCAGCGGGGCUCCCAGAGAGCAGAGCAUCGACUACCAUCACUGGCUGCAGCCUGAGACCGUUGAAGUGAAGGCUGAGCAGGAUGAGAGGCUCCCUGGAGAGGCAGCCCGAUGACACGGAGGUGGAGAACAAGUGUCCAGGUGGAAAACCAGCGACCAAGCUUUGAAACUAAACAGGCCGGAGCAGAGACAAUGACGUCUGUUCAACUACAGCGACAGUACGGCUGGAAACAGAUAUGAUCAUCCAACAUCUACGGCUCCUUCAAGUCGACAGCCUCAUAAAUUCGUCCCAAUCUUGGGUUUGCACCGAACACAUCUUCUAGCAUCACGUCCAAAAGGUCCAACUUCAGCCUCAUCAAACCAACAACACAUUAUUCCACCUGGUUUUGGGAGACUGGGUGUUUUUUUAUUUUUUUAGUUUUUGUAACCUUAAGCCGGCCUUGGAUAUUUCUUUUGGUUUAGAAAGUUUUAUGUGACAAAGCAGCUCCACUGUACUUCUGUGGACAGUAUGCGUUGUUCUGCUCAGAAUGUGUCGGCCCGUCUCCAUCUGAAAUGCCUUUUGAUUAAACAAAUUGUCAGCAAGCAGUUUACAACUGAUGCUCUAUUGAUUUGGUACAGUACAGCUUUAAUGCACAUCAGAAACCGCUGCUUGCUAAAUGGAAAAGAAACUGUUCUGUUUUUUUUAUUUGCACCAAUAAAGUUGUGCAGUUUUGAGGCAUUUUGUCUGCCGUCAGUUAUAUCGUCCUGCCCUAGCAGAUACCCACCAAAGAAGUCAUCACUGUAGCUCGGUCUAAGCACAUUAAGGGCUUUGUUUAAAGGAGGAGGACCAUAAAAUCAAUGUUAAGUGUCACAGGAAGUCAGUGCAGAGCAGCUAAAACUGGACUCUGAGUUCUGGUUAACAGCUGACGGAGGUGAAGUCUCACUGUUAGCAGGAGGACAGUAAAAAGUGCACCAAUUAUUAGCCCUGAAACAAUCUUCAUACUAAUGAUUGGAGGGGUGGAUAUCAGACUUUUUAAGAGUAUCUGGAACGGUGGCAGUUUAACAGAUCCGUCUUAUGACUUCAUGACUUGAAGGUCCGCUGUAGGUCCAGGAGCAGCACACGAGCAGUGGAGGAGCUCAGUAAAUGUAAUAAAGGAGAAUUUCCCCACGGCUCCACCUUCUUCACAGGGGUUAGGCAGGUCAUCGGUGUUUACAUCAGCAGCAGCAGCACGAGCUCUUAUUGUUGUGUUUCUGAGGAACACUUCAUCCACAUUUUGUUGUAGGAGGACGUUGAGCAGCUGGUAAACAGUAGAGAAUAAUAUUCUAGGAUGUACGGCGUGCUUUAGUUAUACUUCAGUCACUGCUGCUGAUCACUAAAGGUGCAAUAUUUCAUACAUACAUUACUCUGACUCUGUUAUUUUUAUACUGUCUAUAUUCAGCUCUUUUCCCGUGCACUAGUUUUUCUUAUUUAUAUAUAUAUAUAAGAAAAACUAUAUAUAUAUAUGUAGAUAUAUUCCUAGUUAUACGUUUACAGUAUUUACUGACCAGUCACUGCCUCACAAGCUCCACUUCUGUGUCCUCCGGUAGCCGAGCGACGACAUCACGUUGGCAGAUUCACGGUUGUGUUUUUGUGCAUUGACAAUAAAGAAAGUCUGAUCCGUA
Long non-coding RNA from Stegastes partitus (bicolor damselfish), 1962 nucleotides. RefSeq lists it as uncharacterized. The transcript has 4 exons. NCBI's taxonomy places the organism in Eukaryota, Metazoa, Chordata, Actinopteri, Pomacentridae. The record is from RefSeq and is a predicted model, not a curated record.